Molecule: ribosomal RNA, 469 nt
Filed under: uncultured bacterium
Lineage: Bacteria
Description: SSU rRNA
Rfam family: Bacterial small subunit ribosomal RNA
Source: RNAcentral
AGAGCGAACGCUGGCGGCAUGCUUAACACAUGCAAGUCGCACGGGCAGGGGCAACUCUGUCAGUGGCGGACGGGUGAGUAACGCGUAGGUAUCUAUCCUUGGGUGGGGGACAACUGUGGGAAACUACAGCUAAUACCGCAUGAUGACCGAGGUCUAAAGGCGUCCGGGGUAACCUGGUGCGUCGCCUGAGGAGGAGCCUGCGUACGAUUAGCUAGUUGGUGGGUAAAGGCCUACCAAGGCGACGAUCGUUAGCUGGUCUGAGAGGAUGAUCAGCCACAUUGGGACUGAGACACGGCCCAAACUCCUACGGGAGGCAGCAGUGGGGGAAUAUUGGACAAUGGGCGCAAGCCUGAUCCAGCAAUGCCGCGUGUGUGAAGAAGGUCUUCGGAUUGUAAAGCACUUUCGACGGGGACGAUGAUGACGGUACCCGUAGAAGAAGCCCGGCUAACUUCGCGCCAGCAGCCGCGGU